Molecule: unclassified non-coding RNA, 345 nt
Filed under: soil metagenome
Description: partial contains 5.8S ribosomal RNA, internal transcribed spacer 2, and large subunit ribosomal RNA
Rfam family: 5.8S ribosomal RNA (bases 1-120)
Source: RNAcentral
GAUGAAGAACGCAGCGAAAUGCGAUACGUAAUGUGAAUUGCAGAAUUCAGUGAAUCAUCGAGUCUUUGAACGCACAUUGCGCCCCCUGGUAUUCCGGGGGGCAUGCCUGUCCGAGCGUCAUUGCUGCCCUCAAGCACGGCUUGUGUGUUGGGCCUCCGUCCUCCUCCCGGGGGACGGGCCCGAAAGGCAGCGGCGGCACCGCGUCCGGUCCUCGAGCGUAUGGGGCUUCGUCACCCGCUCUUGUAGGUCCGGCCGGCGCUUGCCGACACAUCAAUCUUUUUUCCAGGUUGACCUCGGAUCAGGUAGGGAUACCCGCUGAACUUAAGCAUAUCAAUAAGCGGAGGA